RNAcentral lists this non-coding RNA (29 nucleotides) under Rattus norvegicus (Norway rat). The record is from RNAcentral. Lineage: Eukaryota; Metazoa; Chordata; Mammalia; Rodentia; Muridae.
GAGUUGGCCAAAUACUCCUCAAAAGGUUA